This is a non-coding RNA of Phalacrocorax carbo (great cormorant), 983 nucleotides long. Lineage: Eukaryota; Metazoa; Chordata; Aves; Suliformes; Phalacrocoracidae. The record is from RefSeq and is a predicted model, not a curated record.
GGCUCGGGGGGCUGCGGGCCGGGGGGCGGCGGGGGUCCCGCCCGCGACUCGAGUGGAGAGGGAAGGAGGGAGCUGCGGGGGGGGGGCCGGCCCGCGAGGCGGCUUCCUCCCGCCGCCCGCUCCCUCCGGGCCUCCCGGCUGAGUAACGCCCGCAAACGAUAAGCCCUGUCGGUGGUCACGGCGUCACUCGGCGCGUCAGCUGUGACGCCGAGCCCGGUGCGGCGCCGAGCCCUUGGGAGGCAGCGCUGCAAUGUUCGGGUUUUCCCAUUUUCCCUGUUUUUUUUCCCACGUCCUGCGAGCAGCCCUCAAACGGAGCGGUCCCGAUAAGCGCCACCCCUUAAACCCCGCGGUACAGGGUAAAAACCCCCUCCGUUACCCGUUUGCAGACGGGCAAGCCUCGCAGAGGAUCCCGGAGAGCCGUGCAACCGCGGUGGGAAACCGUGGGCGCCCGGCCUUGGGGCUUCUCACCUUUUUCUCUCCUCCAAGGCGCUGCUUCAGGAGCCCAGCAGUGCCCGUGGGGCCACCUCCCCUCUCGCUGCGAGCGGGGUUAGCUCCAGAGCAGAGCGUCAGACGUCGUCGCCUUGGGCCCUCAAAGCACCGCAAGGAGAGGCGGCGUAGGUCCGGCUGUCCGUGACGGCCGGCGAAGAGCUGAACGUGGCCAGCGGCGCGUUGAGCUGGAGGAGGCCGCUGUGGGGAGAGCGUCGCUUCCGUCAGCCGAGCCCUUCUGCGGUGCUCCCGCGUCCGUGCCGGCACCUGGCGGACGGAGCGCACGGAAUUUGUCCAGAAACCAGAAAGGGGACUGGGUUUGGACAACCUCACUGCCUUUGCAGCCCAGCUUUUUCCCCGUGAAGGGGCAUGGGGCCGCAGGUUACAUCAGCAGGGCUUUCUGAAGCCAGACACACUGCUCUUUCCCUCCCCGGUGCCCCACUGCUACCCGGUGCUGGAGGCGCGCCUCCGUGCCACAAGGCUCAGCACGGCUUCGC